CUAAAACGGACAAAACUUAGGUUCACCCCCUAUAGUGAACUCUCAAAUUCACCUUAUUAUUAACACCAAUCAAAUUGCCAUGUAAGUUUAGUAAAUAAGGUAAGAAGUAAAACUAACAAAAAAAAUGAAAAUAACAAAAAAAAAAGACCUCGCCGUUGGAAAAGGAUUAGAACGUGAUCUCAAUCUGCUUCUUCUUCUUUGUCGCCCAAUUUCGGUUUCACCUUCUUCAAACCAAACCAAGCCAUAUCUGACGGUGAUGACAACAAUCUGCAACGACUUUUGAGUAGCUAAGCUUCUUCUUAAAGCAGCUUGCCUCCCACAACAAGUUUCAUUUGCGUGACUAAGAUCAUCAAUGGCAUCUGACUGACCAGUUGAGGAAAAUUCAGAUAGUGAACGAUACCAAUAAGGAUUUUGUUGUCGAGGCACUGAGAUCAAUUGCGGAGAUACUAACCUAUGGCGAUCACCAUGAUCCCUCAUUCUUUGACUGCAGGUUUUUUUGGAUAAGCAAGUCAUGGGAGAGUUUAUACGUAUUUUGAGGGUUAGCAAAACAGUAACAGUUUCUGUUCAGUUGUUGCAAAUCAUAGACUACUUGUUUAGUAACAAAUAUGUAAACUAUUUGUUGUCAUCGCCGUCAGACAUGGCUUGAUUUGGUUUGAAGAAGGUGAAACCGAAAUUGGGCGCCGAAGAAGAAGAAGCCGAUGGAGAUCACAUUCUAAUCCUUUUCUAACGGCGACGUCUUUUUUUUUUUCAAUUUUAGCUAUUUUCCUUUUUUUGUUAGUUUUAAUUUUUUCCUUAUUUACUAAUCCUCAAUUUAAUUGCUGUUAAUAAUAGGGGUGAAUUUGAGAGUUCACCACAGGGGUUGAACCUAAGUUUGUCCUUCUAAAACGACUUAUAUUAAAAACCAGAGGGAGUAUCUAUUUAUAUAUAAUAGUGUUUUGCUCUCUCCUGGUGAAGCCACCUAGGAUUCCAGGUCAGAAAAUCGAGCUUUCUAGAUGCAACACGUGUCCCAUCUCACAAUGCGCUGCGUUUCAUUUACGAUUGUUCUUAAUAUCUGUAGGUUUCAUGUUUGGGCUUUCUGUUUACUCAGAAAUUUGAGCCCAAAAGCGACCAAACCCUUAUCGUCUUCCUCGACUUGACUGCAAAUUUUAGAGUUCAUCCUCUUCUUCAAUCUCCGACAACACGUUAUAUACAAUAGUGUUUUGCUCCCUCCUGGUGAAGCCACCUAGGAUUCCAGGUCAGAAAAUCGAGCUUUCUAGAUGCAACACGUGUCCCAUCUCACAAUUCGAUGCGUUUCAUUUACGAUUGUUCUUAAUAUCUCUAGGUUUCAUGUUUAGGCUUUCUGUUUACUCAGAAAUUUAAGCCCAAAAGCGACCAAACCCUUAUCGUCUUCCUCGACUUGAUGGCAAAUUUUAGAGUUCAUCCUCUUCUUCAAUCUCCGACAACACGUAAAAUAACAUGUAACCCUGUUCUAAUCCUCCGUUAACACGUAACCCUAAUCUGUUUGGCUCAUCAACAUCUUCUCCAACCUCCAACCGACGUUGCAAGCGGAGCAAGCGGUAGAGAGCAACGGAGCAAGAGGCGAGAGCGACGGAGCAAGCUGCGAGAGAGACGGGGCAAACGGCGAGAGCGACGGAGCAAGCGGCGAGAGCGACGGAGCAAGUGACGGGCAGAUCAAGAUGGAUAGCCAUGGAACAAGAAACAGAGAGUGUGAAGAGAGAGAUAUCAAAAGAAAUUGCUACAGUUCAAGCUCUCACAUGGGAGGUGGAUAGGCUCUCACACAUGGCUCGUACUUUCGAAGUUUUUGUAAAUGGAGAUAUGGAGGUUGCGGUGGAAGAGGCUGACAUGACUGCAUCGCUUCUCAUGAGGUUGUUGCUCAAAUUCAAUGGCAUCAAAGCAGAAGGGAAAUCUAGAGUACAAUGAUAACGCAGAGGUUAAUGUUUCAUCUCAUGCAUUCUUCAUUUGUCUGCAUCAACUAUGUUUACACAAUAAGAAUGUCAACAACAAUGGUAAAUGACAUGAAUCAGGUAGUUAUGACUAAUGAGUUCUGAGGCUUUCGAUGAGUUGCAAUGAUAUGAUCAGUGACUUUGGUAGAUAUACAUUGAGAUUAUGUUAAGUGAUCAUUUGUUUGUAUGAAUUAGUGGAAUGGGGACCAAAGGAUCCAAAUCUAUCAGCUAAAAACUUGCAUGUGUUUCCCUAUCUCUAUAUAUAGAUAUGAAUUGUCAAGGAUUAACCUCAACUUUAAGAUUGUUCUUAAUUUAUUUUCUCUUAAGUGACUGGAGAAGUAUGAGGACUACUUGAAGCUCAGAUCAAGAGUUGAGAUCCUACCACAUUCACAACAGCAAAUGAUUACUUCAAAAAUUUAGUAAUCAGUUUUGGACAUAAAAAACAUAGCUUGCAGUUUUACUUAUGCGUUCAAGUGGUGUGCAUAAGACCAUUCAUGAAGGCAUUAACCUUAGAGGUGACAAUGUAUAUUAAUUGCUAAGGCUGGUGCUCUAAUGUUUGCUGAUUAUGGAAUAUGUUGCGUUCACGUGUUUGACGAUAUGGAUAUCAAAAAUCAGGAGAAAGAAUAGAUGGAGAUGCUUGUGUUCCAACUUCUCACCAACACAGCUUUUGCGAGACAAAUAAAAAACACAUGUUCUAUAAGACAUAGGGGGCCAGUCUCAACGGACAUUCUUGAAGCUUCGCUAUCACCUCUGGAAAGAUUCUUAAACAGAGACUAGACAUGUUGCUUAUGCAUGUCUGAAUCUGGAAACUCAGCUAGACGCAACGCAUCAGCAACACGGGCGAUCAAUGUCAUCUUCACCAUCCUGGCUUAUUCCUUCUUCAUUAACAAACUCACUGAAAUUAUCAUAAAGUGAUCAAGUGUCUUUGAAUUCAAGUGCUUCGGACAGAAGUAAAUAUCUCCACUUUCCAAAGAAUUAUAUGAAUCUAAAUGUAGGGGAGGCAACUGAGCUACGGAUUCAUACUCCGUUGUUUGAGAACGUAUGGAGUGUUUGUUAUAUUUCUGUUUUGUCCACAAAUAGUUUGUUCUAUUGUAAUUAAAUUUUAAUUAUUUUAUACAAUUUUUAUUUUUUGAAAA
This is a long non-coding RNA of Brassica napus (rape), 3079 nucleotides long. RefSeq lists it as uncharacterized. The record is from RefSeq and is a predicted model, not a curated record. The transcript has 8 exons. NCBI's taxonomy places the organism in Eukaryota, Viridiplantae, Streptophyta, Magnoliopsida, Brassicales, Brassicaceae.